CCUACGGGGUGCAGCAGUGGGGAAUAUUGCACAAUGGGCGCAAGCCUGAUGCAGCCAUGCCGCGUGUAUGAAGAAGGCCUUCGGGUUGUAAAGUACUUUCAGCGAGGAGGAAGGCGUUAAGGUUAAUAACCUUAGCGAUUGACGUUACUCGCAGAAGAAGCACCGGCUAACUCCGUGCCAGCAGCCGCGGUAAUACGGAGGGUGCAAGCGUUAAUCGGAAUUACUGGGCGUAGAGCGCACGCAGGCGGUCUGUCAAGUCGGAUGUGAAAUCCCCGGGCUCAACCUGGGAACUGCAUUCGAAACUGGCAGGCUAGAGUCUUGUAGAGGGGGGUAGAAUUCCAGGUGUAGCGGUGAAAUUCGUAGAUAUUCGGAGGAAUACCAGUGGCGAAGGCGGCUUACUGGUCUGCAACUGACGCUGAGGCGCGAAAGCGUGGGGAGCAAACAGGAUUAGAUACCCGAGUAGUC
This 465-nucleotide ribosomal RNA is filed under the name uncultured bacterium. Its description in RNAcentral is "bacterial SSU rRNA". It matches the Rfam family "Bacterial small subunit ribosomal RNA", at positions 338 to 795 of the family's 1533-position model. The record is from RNAcentral.